RNAcentral lists this ribosomal RNA (252 nucleotides) under uncultured bacterium. RNAcentral describes it as "partial 16S ribosomal RNA". It matches the Rfam family "Bacterial small subunit ribosomal RNA", at positions 524 to 776 of the family's 1533-position model. The record is from RNAcentral.
UACGUAGGGGGCAAGCGUUGUCCGGAUUUAUUGGGCGUAAAGCGCGCGCAGGCGGUUGAUUAAGUCUGGUGUCUAAACCUUGGGCUCAACCUGGGGACGCAUCGGAAACUGGUCAACUGGAGUGUAGGAGAGGAAAGUGGAAUUCCACGUGUAGCGGUGAAAUGCGUAGAGAUGUGGAGGAACACCAGUGGCGAAGGCGACUUUCUGGCCUAUAACUGACGCUGAGGCGCGAAAGCGUGGGGAGCAAACAGG